RNAcentral lists this long non-coding RNA (199 nucleotides) under Eucalyptus grandis. RNAcentral describes it as "long non-coding RNA (EGRA_LNC001132)". Lineage: Eukaryota; Viridiplantae; Streptophyta; Magnoliopsida; Myrtales; Myrtaceae. The record is from RNAcentral.
UAUGUUUCUGAUUUGUUGUUAUGUGUUCUUGAAUUUUUAUAAAUUCAUGUGUAACCCAUUUUAGGAAACUUCAUUCAUGAAAGUUGUUCCUCAUAGUGUGCUUGAUGUUAAGUGCUUUUCUUAGAGCUAAUUAUCCAUGUGCUCUACCCCAAUUGCUUUGAUCUUAUGUGUGAUGUUUGAUGAUUUCUAUUGUGAUUCU